GCGCGAGUAGCUCAGUUGGUUAGAGCACGAAGCUUAUACCUUCGCGGCCGUUGGUUCGAAUCCAACCUCGCGCACCA
This 77-nucleotide transfer RNA is filed under the name bacterium. Its description in RNAcentral is "tRNA-Ile". It matches the Rfam family "tRNA". From Rfam's summary of the family: Transfer RNA (tRNA) molecules are approximately 80 nucleotides in length. The record is from RNAcentral.